AUUGAACGCUGGCGGCAGGCCUAACACAUGCAAGUCGAACGGUAACAGGAAACAGCUUGCUGUUUCGCUGACGAGUGGCGGACGGGUGAGUAAUGUCUGGGAAACUGCCUGAUGGAGGGGGAUAACUACUGGAAACGGUAGCUAAUACCGCAUAACGUCGCAAGACCAAAGAGGGGGACCUUCGGGCCUCUUGCCAUCGGAUGUGCCCAGAUGGGAUUAGCUAGUAGGUGGGGUAACGGCUCACCUAGGCGACGAUCCCUAGCUGGUCUGGGAGGAUGACCAGCCACACGGGAACUGAGACACGGUCCAGACUCCUACGGGAGGCAGCAGUGGGGAAUAUUGCACAAUGGGCGCAAGCCUGAUGCAGCCAUGCCGCGUGUAUGAAGAAGGCCUUCGGGUUGUAAAGUACUUUCAGCGGGGAGGAAGGGAGUAAAGUUAAUACCUUUGCUCAUUGACGUUACCCGCAGAAGAAGCACCGGCUAACUACGUGCCAGCCGCCGCCGUAA
This 506-nucleotide ribosomal RNA is filed under the name uncultured bacterium. RNAcentral describes it as "partial 16S ribosomal RNA". It matches the Rfam family "Bacterial small subunit ribosomal RNA", at positions 30 to 523 of the family's 1533-position model. The record is from RNAcentral.